GAAAUGCGAUAAGUAAUGUGAAUUGCAGAGUUUUGUGAAUCAUCGAAUCUUUGAACGCACAUUGCGCCCGUCGGCAUUUCGACGGGCAUGCCUGUCCGAGCGUCGUUCGCAUCCCAUCGAGUCACAUCUCGGUCUUGGGCCUUCCGUCCCUCGCGCGUCGGGGGGCGGGCCCCAAAGCCCUCGGCGGCCCCUGGCGUCCGUCGGAGCGUCUUCGAAAGCAUAUCGCUCCGCGCGGCGCCGGCGGGACUCCUGCCCAGAGGCGGGCGGAAAUCGCGCGCAACGCAACAAGAGGUUUGACCUCGGAUCAGGUAGGGAUACCCGCUGAACUUAAGC
Molecule: unclassified non-coding RNA, 333 nt
Filed under: plant metagenome
Description: partial contains 5.8S ribosomal RNA, internal transcribed spacer 2, and large subunit ribosomal RNA
Rfam family: 5.8S ribosomal RNA (bases 1-105)
Source: RNAcentral